This is a long non-coding RNA of Numida meleagris (helmeted guineafowl), 648 nucleotides long. RefSeq lists it as uncharacterized. The record is from RefSeq and is a predicted model, not a curated record. NCBI's taxonomy places the organism in Eukaryota, Metazoa, Chordata, Aves, Galliformes, Numididae. The transcript has 2 exons.
CCUGCCCCGCAGGAUUGGGAUGAGUGAUGUCUGGCAGCAGAAACACCAGGUGGAAUUUCCUGACUGAGAGCUGCAUGCCAGCUGCCCUCAUCCUGACACCGAGAGGUCAAGAGGAUAAUCCUCAGUGGUACACGAGGCUAAGAGGUGUAUUGUCACCUCUGGGCAGAAGGAGCAGCACAAAGCGCUCACAGGGCGGCGGUGCUUUGGAGGAGAGCACUGGGUCAGCUGCUCAGUGCAUUGCAGGCUGCACACCGGGCUGCUUUGGCUAUCAGAUAGAAUCUAAAAGAAGACGUAGCUGCUCAGGAGCCAGCUGUGAAAGGUGAUGUCCCUCGCAGUAAUACAGCAUGGUGCUCCUUGGGCUGCAUAGGAAAUCCCUCCUACAGACAAGGGCAAGAAGAGGACAAAGAAGAAACAAUGAUAAAUCUGAGCAGAUGACAGUGAGGAUUCAGAAACAAGGGGGUGGCCCGCACUGUAACAUGAAGUAUUUGUUGGUUACAUAUAGCACAGCGCUCAGUUACGCAGGCUGUGUUAACAAGAGCUCACCAAUUCACCGGGCAUGUGUCCUAAGAGUCACGGGAGCCUGGAAAGGUGUCUGGUUCAUACGGGAUAUGUGUAUAUACAUAUAUAAAAUCUUAUGAGUUUACCGUG